RNAcentral lists this ribosomal RNA (429 nucleotides) under Bacteroidota bacterium. RNAcentral describes it as "Bacteroidetes bacterium partial 16S ribosomal RNA". It matches the Rfam family "Bacterial small subunit ribosomal RNA", at positions 355 to 776 of the family's 1533-position model. Lineage: Bacteria; Pseudomonadati; Bacteroidota. The record is from RNAcentral.
UAGGGAAUCUUCCGCAAUGGGCGAAAGCCUGACGGAGCAACGCCGCGUGAGUGAAGAAGGAUUUCGGUUCGUAAAACUCUGUUGUUAGAGAAGAACAGCGCAUAGAGUAACUGUUAUGCGUGUGACGGUAUCUAACCAGAAAGCCACGGCUAACUACGUGCCAGCAGCCGCGGUAAUACGUAGGUGGCAAGCGUUGUCCGGAUUUAUUGGGCGUAAAGCGAGCGCAGGCGGUCAAUUAAGUCUGAUGUGAAAGCCCCCGGCUCAACCGGGGAGGGUCAUUGGAAACUGGUUGACUUGAGUGCAGAAGAGGAGAGUGGAAUUCCAUGUGUAGCGGUGAAAUGCGUAGAUAUAUGGAGGAACACCGGUGGCGAAAGCGGCUCUCUGGUCUGUAACUGACGCUGAGGCUCGAAAGCGUGGGGAGCGAGCAGG